RNAcentral lists this ribosomal RNA (497 nucleotides) under uncultured bacterium. RNAcentral's name for it is "partial 16S ribosomal RNA". It matches the Rfam family "Bacterial small subunit ribosomal RNA", at positions 28 to 507 of the family's 1533-position model. The record is from RNAcentral.
GAUGAACGCUGGCGGCGUGCCUAAUACAUGCAAGUCGAGCGAACAGACGAGGAGCUUGCUCCUCUGACGUUAGCGGCGGACGGGUGAGUAACACGUGGAUAACCUACCUAUAAGACUGGGAUAACUUCGGGAAACCGGAGCUAAUACCGGAUAACAUGUUGAACCGCAUGGUUCAACAGUGAAAGACGGUCUUGCUGUCACUUAUAGAUGGAUCCGCGCCGCAUUAGCUAGUUGGUAAGGUAACGGCUUACCAAGGCAACGAUGCGUAGCCGACCUGAGAGGGUGAUCGGCCACACUGGAACUGAGACACGGUCCAGACUACUACGGGAGGCAGCAGUAGGGAAUCUUCCGCAAUGGGCGAAAGCCUGACGGAGCAACGCCACGUGAGUGAAGAAGGUCUUCGGAUCGUAAAACUCUGUUAUUAGGGAAGAACAAAUGUGUAAGUAACUAUGCACGUCCUGACGGUACCUAAUCAGAAAGCCACGGCUAACUACGUG